This 20-nucleotide ribosomal RNA is filed under the name Enrothia polyclada. RNAcentral's name for it is "Neckera polyclada partial 26S ribosomal RNA". The record is from RNAcentral. Lineage: Eukaryota; Viridiplantae; Streptophyta; Bryopsida; Hypnales; Neckeraceae.
AGACUACCCGCUGAGUUUAA